GACGAACGCUGGCGGCGUGCUUAACACAUGCAAGUCGAACGGAAAGGCCCUGCUUUUGUGGGGUGCUCGAGUGGCGAACGGGUGAGUAACACGUGAGUAACCUGCCCUUGACUUUGGGAUAACUUCAGGAAACUGGGGCUAAUACCGGAUAGGAGCUCCUGCUGCAUGGUGGGGGUUGGAAAGUUUCGGCGGUUGGGGAUGGACUCGCGGCUUAUCAGCUUGUUGGUGGGGUAGUGGCUUACCAAGGCUUUGACGGGUAGCCGGCCUGAGAGGGUGACCGGCCACAUUGGGACUGAGAUACGGCCCAGACUCCUACGGGAGGCAGCAGUGGGGAAUAUUGCACAAUGGGCGGAAGCCUGAUGCAGCAACGCCGCGUGCGGGAUGACGGCCCUCGGGUUGUAAACCGCUUUCGCCUGUGACGAAGCGUAAGUGACGGUAAUGGGUAAAGAAGCACCGGCUAACUACGUG
RNAcentral lists this ribosomal RNA (468 nucleotides) under uncultured bacterium. RNAcentral's name for it is "partial 16S ribosomal RNA". It matches the Rfam family "Bacterial small subunit ribosomal RNA", at positions 28 to 507 of the family's 1533-position model. The record is from RNAcentral.